RNAcentral lists this ribosomal RNA (407 nucleotides) under uncultured bacterium. Its description in RNAcentral is "partial 16S ribosomal RNA". It matches the Rfam family "Bacterial small subunit ribosomal RNA", at positions 30 to 526 of the family's 1533-position model. The record is from RNAcentral.
AUUGAACGCUAGCGGGAUGCCUUACACAUGCAAGUCGAACGGAGUGGCGAACGGGUACGUAAUGUAUCGGAACGUGCCAAGUAGCGGGGGAUAACUACGCGAAAGCGUAGCUAAUACCGCAUACUCUUGGAGCGGCCGAUAUCGGAUUAGCUAGUUGGUGGGGUAACGGCUUACAAGGGCGGAGAUCCGUCGCUGGGUUGAGAGGACGAGCAGCCACACUGGGACUGAGAAACGGCCCAGACUCCUACGGUAGGCAGCAGUGGGGAAUUUUGGACAAUGGGGGAAACCCUGAUCCAGCCAUCCCGCGUGUGCGAUGAAGGCCUUCGGGUUGUAAAGCACUUUUGGCAGGAAAGCGGUACCUGCAGAAUAAGCACCGGCUAACUACGUGCCAGCAGCCGCGGUAAUAC